AUCCAACCGACGAGUCCCAAAAAGGAUGAAACACGCAUCCUGGAU
RNAcentral lists this non-coding RNA (45 nucleotides) under Schistosoma mattheei. The record is from RNAcentral. Lineage: Eukaryota; Metazoa; Platyhelminthes; Trematoda; Strigeidida; Schistosomatidae.